This 424-nucleotide ribosomal RNA is filed under the name uncultured bacterium. RNAcentral's name for it is "partial 16S ribosomal RNA". It matches the Rfam family "Bacterial small subunit ribosomal RNA", at positions 360 to 776 of the family's 1533-position model. The record is from RNAcentral.
ACUUUUGGACAAUUAGCGCAAGCCUCAUCCAGCCAUUCCGCGUGAGUGAAGAAGGCCUUCGGGUUGUAAAGCUCUUUCGGUCGGAAAGAAAUGGCGUUGUUUUAUACCUUGCGUGGAUGACGGUACCGUCACAAGAAGCACCGGCUAACUACGUGCUAGCAGCCGCGGUAAUACGUAGGGUGCGAGCGUUAAUCGGAAUUACUGGGCGUAAAGCGUGCGCAGGCGGUUGAUUAAGACAGGCGUGAAAUCCACGGGCUUAACCUGGGAACUGCGCUUGUGACUGGUCAGCUAGAGUACGGCAGAGGGGGGUGGAAUUCCACGUGUAGCAGUGAAAUGCGUAGAGAUGUGGAGGAACACCGAUGGCGAAGGCAGCACCCUGGGCCGAUACUGAAGCUCAUGCACGAAAGCGUGGGUAGCAAACAGG